This is a non-coding RNA of Paramuricea clavata, 1228 nucleotides long. Lineage: Eukaryota; Metazoa; Cnidaria; Anthozoa; Malacalcyonacea; Plexauridae. The record is from the annotation of a GenBank genome assembly.
ACCUUCCCAAGACUCCGUAGCAUAUCCGCCAAAAAUAAAACUGCCAACUUUAACCAGGGUAACUGUUGGUUUCUUGUUGUCGCACUUGCUAUGGAAGGUACUGGCUGCCCAUCCAUCUCGUGUUGCACGCCAACACAGUUUUGCUGCAACAACUCCCCCAAUCCACGAUUUUAUUAAUGCACCACCAUCAUAUUCUCCAAAGAGUAUGCUUGAUCCAAAAAACGCCAGAUCUAUUCAAGGAAAAAUAUUGAGACUGUAUAGGAAUCUUCACAACUUUAUUUUUAGUUAUCAACCAUUGCAUGUAUAUAUGGGUUAUAUUUAUCAUUUGACGUAUAGGGGGAAAAAGGAACUGUCCCGCUCCGCUUCGGAAGCACUGUCGCGCCCCUGACAUGCCUGCACCAGCACCCUCCUCACGAGCCAUGUCCGAGCCUACGAGCCAUUAAGACGCCUCUGCGGAGAGUAGUUGCAGUCUACGUUUCUUCAUUACAAUCACAGUUAUGCAAGUCAGCUAAUUCAAAGUGCGAAAUGCAUCUUUGGUUGUCAGGGUGUUUACGUUUUUUGGUUUUGUUUAGUAUAUUUUAUUUUCGAAAAUGAAUGAAUGAUAUCAUCAAUCAGUCAGUCCAGCAGGGGAUAAUAAAUCAAUGCACGCAUGUUAUAAGAAAUGUAUUUAAAACAAUUUAUGAUGUCUAUAUUUCCUUUGAUAUAACGAUUAUAUUUCGAACUAAUGUAACCUCUCCCCCCCGUAAAUCCAAACAGUAUAGGAGGAAAAAUACUAUUUCGCUGACCUCAGAAUGACAUUUCGUCAAAACUUUUUUCUUCAAGAUUGGUUUAGAAGCAAACUUGGAGUAGGGUUAGGUUAGGAAUAGGGUUGGAGUUAGGAUUAGGGUUAGAGUUGGUGUUUGGAAUAGGGUUAGUGUUAGUAAAACAGUUGUUUGGUUACGUUUUGUCACUUUGAGGCCGGCGAAAUAAUCUCUUCCGGUAAAGGAAGCCUGGUUGCCCCGGCAUUCGCGGUAGUAAUCGUCGGUCUUUGUAAUUUCAAUAUAAAAUGGGUUUUGACUUUUGAUUGCCAUUGUUAAAAUAUGGUCCAAAACUUGUACAUCUCGCCGUAUUUUCGAAGAACGACAUUUGUUCUACAUGCUGACGAAUUUUUUGUAGAAUAAAGCGAUUUGAGUCACAGGCAGCCCAUCCCGUGUCUUAUUAAAGUUAUGUAUUAGAAUUACGUAUGAAA